AUAGUUGUAGCUCAAUUGGUAGAGCAGUGGUCUCCAAAACCACAGGUUGUGGGUUCGAGUCCUACCAACUAUG
RNAcentral lists this transfer RNA (73 nucleotides) under virus sp. ctQcs9. RNAcentral describes it as "tRNA-Trp". It matches the Rfam family "tRNA". From Rfam's summary of the family: Transfer RNA (tRNA) molecules are approximately 80 nucleotides in length. The record is from RNAcentral.